Molecule: ribosomal RNA, 439 nt
Filed under: uncultured bacterium
Lineage: Bacteria
Description: partial 16S ribosomal RNA
Rfam family: Bacterial small subunit ribosomal RNA
Source: RNAcentral
CUACGGGUGGCACCAGUGAGGAAUAUUGCACAAUGGGGGGAACCCUGAUGCAGCAACGCCGCGUGUAGGAUGACGCAUUUCGGUGUGUAAACUCCUUUUAUAUGUCAAGAAAAUGACGGUAGCAUAUGAAUAAGCACCGGCUAACUCCGUGCCAGCAGCCGCGGUAAUACGGAGGGUGCAAGCGUUACUCGGAAUCACUGGGCGUAAAGGACGCGUAGGCGGCCUAAUAAGUCAGGGGUGAAAUCCUACGGCUCAACCGUAGAACUGCUCUUGAAACUGUCAGGCUAGAGUGAGGGAGAGGUCAGUGGAAUUAGUGGUGUAGGGGUAAAAUCCGUAGAUAUCACUAGGAAUACUCAUUGCGAAGGCGACUGACUGGAACUUUACUGACGCUGAGGCGUGAAAGCGUGGGGAGCAAACAGGAUUAGAUACCCCAGUAGUC